UUCCAUUGGCAAUGGGCAAAGAGACACCUUGUUGGUCGUGUUGUACUUAUAUCAGUCAAGGGCAGAACAGACUGUAGUCCUUAGUUCAUCUUAGUUUGAUCCCUCUCUUGGUGGCCAAAGCUUUCUUAUGUCUAAGACUCAUAA
Molecule: small nucleolar RNA, 144 nt
Organism: Rattus norvegicus (Norway rat)
Lineage: Eukaryota; Metazoa; Chordata; Mammalia; Rodentia; Muridae
Product: small nucleolar RNA SNORA48
Source: Ensembl